Molecule: ribosomal RNA, 415 nt
Filed under: uncultured bacterium
Lineage: Bacteria
Description: bacterial SSU rRNA
Rfam family: Bacterial small subunit ribosomal RNA
Source: RNAcentral
GUGUCAGCCGCCGCGGUAAUACGAAGGGGGCAAGCGUUGUUCGGAAUUAUUGGGCGUAAAGCGUAUGUAGGUGGUCUUUCAAGUCAGACGUGUAAGCCCUCGGCUCAACCGAGGAAUUGCGUUUGAAACUGAUUGACUUGAGUGUAGGAGAGGAAAGCGGAAUUCCCAGUGUAGCGGUGAAAUGCGUUGAUAUUGGGAAGAACACCGGUGGCGAAGGCGGCUUUCUGGCCUGCUACUGACACUGAGAUACGAAAGCCAGGGGAGCAAAGGGGAUUAGAUACCCCCGUAGUCCUGGCUGUAAACGAUGGGCACUAGGUGCGGGAGGUAUUGAUCCCUUCUGUGCCGCAGCUAACGCAUUAAGUGCCCCGCCUGGGGAGUACGGUCGCAAGGCUGAAACUUAAAUGAAUUGACGGGG